UACGUAGGGGGCAAGCGUUAUCCGGAUUUACUGGGUGUAAAGGGAGCGUAGACGGAAUUGCAAGUCUGAUGUGAAAAUCCGGGGCCCAACCCCGGAACUGCAUUGGAAACUGUAUUUCUAGAGUGUCGGAGAGGCAAGUGGAAUUCCUGGUGUAGCGGUGAAAUGCGUAGAUAUUAGGAAGAACACCAGUGGCGAAGGCGGCUUUCUGGACUGAAACUGACGCUGAGGCACGAAAGCGUGGGGAGCGAACAGG
Molecule: ribosomal RNA, 253 nt
Filed under: uncultured Blautia sp.
Lineage: Bacteria; Bacillati; Bacillota; Clostridia; Lachnospirales; Lachnospiraceae
Description: partial 16S ribosomal RNA
Rfam family: Bacterial small subunit ribosomal RNA
Source: RNAcentral